UGGCUUAGUGGUAAAAGAAUCUGCCUGCAAUGCAGGAGACCUGGGUUCGAUUCCUGG
This 57-nucleotide transfer RNA is filed under the name Bos taurus (domestic cattle). It matches the Rfam family "tRNA", at positions 8 to 63 of the family's 71-position model. From Rfam's summary of the family: Transfer RNA (tRNA) molecules are approximately 80 nucleotides in length. Their secondary structure includes four short double-helical elements and three loops (D, anti-codon, and T loops). Further hydrogen bonds mediate the characteristic L-shaped molecular structure. tRNAs have two regions of fundamental functional importance: the anti-codon, which is responsible for specific mRNA codon recognition, and the 3' end, to which the tRNAs corresponding amino acid is attached (by aminoacyl-tRNA synthetases). tRNAs cope with the degeneracy of the genetic code in two manners: having more than one tRNA (with a specific anti-codon) for a particular amino acid; and 'wobble' base-pairing, i.e. permitting non-standard base-pairing at the 3rd anti-codon position. Lineage: Eukaryota; Metazoa; Chordata; Mammalia; Artiodactyla; Bovidae. RNAcentral also lists the same sequence under 5 other names. The record is from Rfam by way of RNAcentral.